Small RNA from Pseudomonas putida KT2440, 145 nucleotides. It matches the Rfam family "Pseudomonas sRNA P14". The record is from Rfam. NCBI's taxonomy places the organism in Bacteria, Pseudomonadati, Pseudomonadota, Gammaproteobacteria, Pseudomonadales, Pseudomonadaceae.
CUGCAGAUUUUUUUCACAGACACGUCGCAAAUCUUGUCGGCGCGGAGUCAAGCAACAUUUUUUUUGCAGUUCUUGCGCUCUGUCAGUUUACUUACUACAAGUAAUGGGUACUAUGUACGCCGGCCAGUUUCUCUUUCCUGAGAGA